This 293-nucleotide long non-coding RNA is filed under the name Gossypium barbadense (sea-island cotton). RNAcentral describes it as "long non-coding RNA (GBAR_LNC005736)". The record is from RNAcentral. Lineage: Eukaryota; Viridiplantae; Streptophyta; Magnoliopsida; Malvales; Malvaceae.
AAAAAUAAAAAAAUAAAAUUAAGAAUCUGGAAAAAUAAAAAUAGAAUUUAAAGUGAAUUGAAAUUGUGAAAUUAUAUAAAUUGAGAAAAUUAAAAUGAAGACUAUAAAAAUAAACAGAGUUUGGGGAAAAGAGAAAAUUUCUUAUGUGGCGAGAUUCCAGCUUCCGGUUGUCUCGUUCCGCCUUGGGUUCCAUCCUUGGCUUUUAAGUAACCUUUCUCAACUUAAGUAAGCCAGUUAUAGUGGAAGAGGACGCCUACGACCACCAGCUCCAAAGAUUAGACUUACGAUUUUUA